Molecule: transfer RNA, 77 nt
Filed under: Acidimicrobiales bacterium 20-64-4
Lineage: Bacteria; Bacillati; Actinomycetota; Acidimicrobiia; Acidimicrobiales
Description: tRNA-Leu
Rfam family: tRNA
About the family: Transfer RNA (tRNA) molecules are approximately 80 nucleotides in length.
Source: RNAcentral
GGGGGCGUAGCCCAAUUGGCAGAGGCAGGGCGCUUAAACCGCCUCCAGUGAGGGUUCGAGUCCCUCCGCCCCUACCG